RNAcentral lists this long non-coding RNA (421 nucleotides) under Salvia miltiorrhiza (redroot sage). Its description in RNAcentral is "long non-coding RNA (SMIL_LNC011006)". Lineage: Eukaryota; Viridiplantae; Streptophyta; Magnoliopsida; Lamiales; Lamiaceae. The record is from RNAcentral.
GGAGGCGCCAAACAAUAAACUCAAUUCCAAGAUUUCAUCUUUAUGUAACCAUUAAAUAAACUCAAUUCCAAGAUUUCAUCUUUAUGGAAGAGACCUUUAAACAAACAGAUAGCAUGCAAAAUCAAAACUAAUCUUUCACAGGCUGAACUGGUAACGCCGGGACUACUUUACCGCCGCUGUCGGAGCUCAGACACGGAGGCGCGAUAAGGGCGGAAGGGAGCUCAGACACGGAGGCAAGCAAAGGCCGAAGUAAGCUCAGACAUAGAGACGAGGUAGACCGAAGGGUAAGAGGCGCCGGUGGCCGGUGGGAAGAGGCGCCGGCGACGUGGGAAGGGGGGGCAGGUCGCAGACUCAGGCUGGCAGCGAAAGCCCUAGUAUUUGGCUGCCUAUUUUCAAUUUUCCAGACUCCAGUAGCUCAGUU